This 998-nucleotide long non-coding RNA is filed under the name Medicago truncatula (barrel medic). Its description in RNAcentral is "lncRNA gene25247". Lineage: Eukaryota; Viridiplantae; Streptophyta; Magnoliopsida; Fabales; Fabaceae. The record is from RNAcentral.
CAAAACUUCGAUGGUUACUUUUGUUUCUUCAACCCCCGUUUAGUGGCAAAGUUACUCUUUAGGCUUCCAAAUUUCUCCAUCUAUUAAAUGAAACUACUAGCAUUGAAAUGACAUGCAUUUCAAACCACGGAUGCUCCUCGUUUUUGUACCUUGUGUGAGAGUGGAUGAAUCGUCAACUCAUCUUUUUCUCCAUUGUGAGGUUGCCGGAAGGGUGUGGCGUGAUAUUAUGGGGUGGUGGGAGAGGUUUAUUGUAAUUCCGCCUAAUUUAUUUGUCUUAUGGGAGUGUUGGAGUGGCGGGGAGAGGAUUAAGCGUAUUCGUCAGGGGUUAAGAUUAAUUUGGCAUGUUACGAUUUGGGUUUUAUGGAAAGCUAGAAAUGACAAGAUUUUUAAUAAUCGGAAUCCGGAGGUGGUGGAUAUUGUGGAGGAUAUUAAGGUAUUGACUUGGCGGUGGUCGUUGGAGAUAAUUGCAAUGCCUCCUUGUAUGUUCUAUGAGUGGUGUUGGGAUCCGAGGGAAUGCCUUUCGCGAUUGUGCUAAGUUGUGGAGGUGAUGUUCUCUGCAGGCAGUGCUGAUAGCUUUGCUGGUUUUUUGGAUGCUGUGUUGGAUUGGGCCUGUUAACAGGUUUUAUCAGCAGUUGUUGUGGUUUUUGCCCAGCUGUUGGUGGUUAGCAGCAGUGUUGUGCUGUUAGGCCUGCUGGUCCUGUGUUCUGCCGCUGUUGGGAUUAGGCUGAGGGUGGUUUUCCUGGGUUCUGUGGCUAGUUUGAGCUAUGUUAUUGUAAUUUGUUGUCUUGUUAGCAGAUUACAAGAGCAUAACUUGCUUCUGUCAUUAGAUAGGGAGUUUAUCUUUGUCAUUAGGAGUUUUUUGGUGUUGAUUUUGGUGUUCCGUAUAUAUGCGGCACCAUUUUUGUAGUUUCUGUUUUCGUCCUUUCCUUGCGGCUUGCGGGGUUGGCGCUAAUAAAUUUUGACGAUUCAAAAUAAUAUUAAGUAAAGGAGUUGGAUCU